AGGGAGCUAGUCCAAAACAAGACCUCUGAUUUCGGCUCAGAAAACCGUGGUUUGAUUCCACGACUCCCUC
Molecule: transfer RNA, 70 nt
Filed under: Barbus sp. CToL 033
Lineage: Eukaryota; Metazoa; Chordata; Actinopteri; Cypriniformes; Cyprinidae
Description: tRNA-Arg
Rfam family: tRNA
About the family: Transfer RNA (tRNA) molecules are approximately 80 nucleotides in length. Their secondary structure includes four short double-helical elements and three loops (D, anti-codon, and T loops). Further hydrogen bonds mediate the characteristic L-shaped molecular structure. tRNAs have two regions of fundamental functional importance: the anti-codon, which is responsible for specific mRNA codon recognition, and the 3' end, to which the tRNAs corresponding amino acid is attached (by aminoacyl-tRNA synthetases). tRNAs cope with the degeneracy of the genetic code in two manners: having more than one tRNA (with a specific anti-codon) for a particular amino acid; and 'wobble' base-pairing, i.e. permitting non-standard base-pairing at the 3rd anti-codon position.
Source: RNAcentral